This 521-nucleotide ribosomal RNA is filed under the name uncultured bacterium. RNAcentral describes it as "bacterial SSU rRNA". It matches the Rfam family "Bacterial small subunit ribosomal RNA", at positions 355 to 867 of the family's 1533-position model. The record is from RNAcentral.
UAGGGAAUCUUCCGCAAUGGACGAAAGUCUGACGGAGCAACGCCGCGUGAGCGAAGAAGGCCUUCGGGUCGUAAAGCUCUGUUGUUAGGGAAGAACAAGUACCGGAGUAACUGCCGGUACCUUGACGGUACCUAACCAGAAAGCCACGGCUAACUACGUGCCAGCAGCCGCGGUAAUACGUAGGUGGCAAGCGUUGUCCGGAAUUAUUGGGCGUAAAGCGCGCGCAGGCGGUUUCUUAAGUCUGAUGUGAAAGCCCACGGCUCAACCGUGGAGGGUCAUUGGAAACUGGGAAACUUGAGUGCAGAAGAGGAAAGUGGAAUUCCACGUGUAGCGGUGAAAUGCGUAGAGAUGUGGAGGAACACCAGUGGCGAAGGCGACUUUCUGGUCUGUAACUGACGCUGAGGCGCGAAAGCAUGGGGAGCGAACAGGAUUAGAUACCCUGGUAGUCCAUGCCGUAAACGAUGAGUGCUAAGUGUUAGAGGGUUUCCGCCCUUUAGUGCUGCAGCUAACGCAUUAAGCAC